This 60-nucleotide non-coding RNA is filed under the name unclassified sequences. Its description in RNAcentral is "S15-Flavobacteria ribosomal protein leader". It matches the Rfam family "S15-Flavobacteria ribosomal protein leader". The record is from RNAcentral.
UACAUUUGUCGAUCGUUUGAAAACGAAUUACAUAAUAAUCAUUUAAAUAAUAUUUGCAUG